This is a transfer RNA of 75 nucleotides. It matches the Rfam family "tRNA". From Rfam's summary of the family: Transfer RNA (tRNA) molecules are approximately 80 nucleotides in length. Their secondary structure includes four short double-helical elements and three loops (D, anti-codon, and T loops).
GCCCUUGUAGUUGAAUGGAUACAAUAUCUCCCUCCGAAGGAGGUGGUGGUGGUUCGAUUCCACCCAAGGGCACAA